Molecule: ribosomal RNA, 253 nt
Filed under: uncultured bacterium
Lineage: Bacteria
Description: partial 16S ribosomal RNA
Rfam family: Bacterial small subunit ribosomal RNA
Source: RNAcentral
UACAGAGGUCCCAAGCGUUGUUCGGAUUCACUGGGCGUAAAGGGUGCGUAGGUGGUUGGGUAAGUCUGACGUGAAAUCUCUGAGCUUAACUCAGAAACUGCGUUGGAUACUAUCCAGCUUGAGAGUUGGAGGGGGGACUGGAAUACUUGGUGUAGCAGUGAAAUGCGUAGAUAUCAAGUGGAACACCAGUGGCGAAGGCGAGUCCCUGGACAACUUCUGACACUGAGGCACGAAAGCUAGGGGAGCAAACGGG